CCUACGGGAGGCAGCAGUGAGGAAUAUUGGUCAAUGGACGAGAGUCUGAACCAGCCAAGUAGCGUGAAGGAUGACUGCCCUAUGGGUUGUAAACUUCUUUUAUAUGGGAAUAAAACGUUCCACGUGUGGGCUUUUGUAUGUACCAUAUGAAUAAGGAUCGGCUAACUCCGUGCCAGCAGCCGCGGUAAUACGGAGGAUCCGAGCGUUAUCCGGAUUUAUUGGGUUUAAAGGGAGCGUAGGUGGAUUGUUAAGUCAGUUGUGAAAGUUUGCGGCGCAACCGUAAAAUUGCAGUUGAAACUGGCAGUCGUGAGUACAGUAGAGGUGGGCGGAAUUCGUGGUGUAGCGGUGAAAUGCUUAGAUAUCACGAAGAACUCCGAUGGCGAAGGCAGUUCACUGGACUGCAACUGACACUGAGGCUCGAAAGUGUGGGUAGCAAACAGGAUUAGAUACCCGGGUAGUC
RNAcentral lists this ribosomal RNA (460 nucleotides) under uncultured bacterium. Its description in RNAcentral is "partial 16S ribosomal RNA". It matches the Rfam family "Bacterial small subunit ribosomal RNA", at positions 338 to 795 of the family's 1533-position model. The record is from RNAcentral.